This is a non-coding RNA of Vanrija pseudolonga, 72 nucleotides long. The record is from the annotation of a RefSeq genome assembly. Lineage: Eukaryota; Fungi; Basidiomycota; Tremellomycetes; Trichosporonales; Trichosporonaceae.
ACCUCGAUAGCUCAAUAGGUAGAGCACGGAAGUGAAGUUUCUGGGGAAUGAGUUCGAAUCUCGUUUGAGGUA